Molecule: ribosomal RNA, 448 nt
Filed under: uncultured bacterium
Lineage: Bacteria
Description: bacterial SSU rRNA
Rfam family: Bacterial small subunit ribosomal RNA
Source: RNAcentral
UGGGGAAUAUUGGACAAUGGGGGCAACCCUGAUCCAGCAAUGCCGCGUGUGUGAAGAAGGCCUUCGGGUUGUAAAGCACUUUUAUCCGGAACGAAACGCGCUUGGUGAAUAUCCAGGCGAACUGACGGUACCGGAGGAAUAAGCACCGGCUAACUUCGUGCCAGCAGCCGCGGUAAUACGAAGGGUGCAAGCGUUACUCGGAAUUACUGGGCGUAAAGCGUGCGUAGGUGGUUUUUUAAGUCCGUUGUGAAAGCCCUGGGCUCAACCUGGGAAUGGCAGUGGAUACUGGAAAGCUAGAGUGCGGUAGAGGGUAGUGGAAUUCCCGGUGUAGCAGUGAAAUGCGUAGAGAUCGGGAGGAACACCAGUGGCGAAGGCGGCUACCUGGACCAGCACUGACACUGAGGCACGAAAGCGUGGGGAGCAAACAGGAUUAGAUACCCCCGUAGUC